CAGUAGCCACGGGAACACGAAGGGGGCUAGCGUUGCUCGGAAUGACUGGGCGUAAAGGGCGCGUAGGCGGCGAUCAAAGUCAGGCGUGAAAUUCCUGGGCUCAACCUGGGGGCUGCGUUUGAUACUUGGUUGCUAGAGUGAGGAAGAGGGUCGUGGAAUUCCCAGUGUAGAGGUGAAAUUCGUAGAUAUUGGGAAGAACACCGGUGGCGAAGGCGGCGACCUGGUCCUUGACUGACGCUGAGGCGCGAAAGCGUGGGGAGCAAACAGGAUUAGAUACCCAGGUAGUCCCUGUCUCUUAUAC
This 301-nucleotide ribosomal RNA is filed under the name uncultured bacterium. RNAcentral's name for it is "partial 16S ribosomal RNA". It matches the Rfam family "Bacterial small subunit ribosomal RNA", at positions 509 to 807 of the family's 1533-position model. The record is from RNAcentral.